AUUGAACGCUGGCGGCAGGCCUAACACAUGCAAGUCGAGCGGAUGAAGGGAGCUUGCUCCUGGAUUCAGCGGCGGACGGGUGAGUAAUGCCUAGGAAUCUGCCUGGUAGUGGGGGAUAACGUCCGGAAACGGGCGCUAAUACCGCAUACGUCCUGAGGGAGAAAGUGGGGGAUCUUCGGACCUCACGCUAUCAGAUGAGCCUAGGUCGGAUUAGCUAGUUGGUGGGGUAAAGGCCUACCAAGGCGACGAUCCGUAACUGGUCUGAGAGGAUGAUCAGUCAAACCGGAACUGAGGCAAGGGCCAGGCCUCUACGGGAGGCAGCAGUGGGGAAUAUUGGACAAUGGGCGAAAGCCUGAUCCAGCCAUGCCGCGUGUGUGAAGAAGGUCUUCGGAUUGUAAAGCACUUUAAGUUGGGAGGAAGGGCAGUAAGUUAAUACCUUGCUGUUUUGACGUUACCAACAGAAUAAGCACCGGCUAACUUCGUG
RNAcentral lists this ribosomal RNA (484 nucleotides) under uncultured bacterium. Its description in RNAcentral is "partial 16S ribosomal RNA". It matches the Rfam family "Bacterial small subunit ribosomal RNA", at positions 30 to 507 of the family's 1533-position model. The record is from RNAcentral.